Molecule: ribosomal RNA, 253 nt
Filed under: uncultured bacterium
Lineage: Bacteria
Description: partial 16S ribosomal RNA
Rfam family: Bacterial small subunit ribosomal RNA
Source: RNAcentral
GACGAACCGUGCGAACGUUGUUCGGAUUCACUGGGCUUAAAGGGCGCGUAGGCGGCUCGCCGAGUCAGGGGUGAAAUCGUCCGGCUCAACCGGACAAGCGCUUCUGAUACUGGCGGGCUGGAGGGAGGUAGGGGCGACUGGAACUUCCGGUGGAGCGGUGAAAUGCGUAGAUAUCGGAAAGAACACCAACGGCGAAAGCACUCUGCUGGGCCGACACUGACACUGAGAGACGAAAGCUAGGGGAGCGAAUGGG